AAACAGACUCUAUUUCGUCGCAUAACUUGAACAAGGAUCCUUACUUCUCCCAUGCUUUUUUUAUGCCACUUUUCCAAGAAAACAAAUCGGAUUACUCUUCAAACUCUUCGUUUCCAUGUAGAUGUCAACUUUUGCUUCAUCUAAUCCUUAUAAAAGUGGUGCAUCAACCACAAUUUUGUAUCAAGACUUGCCGCAAGUUUCACGGUUCCUCUGCAAGUCCGGCUGCAAUCCCCUCCACUGUCUUUCGUUUUUCCAGCUAGUCGAAGUGGUGGCUUGAUUAGGACAAAUUUUGCUUUAUGUUUUUUUGUUUGUUUUUGAACUGAAGCUAUUGGCGCUAAUCAAUUAGACAUAACCAAAAGCUUCAUUUUGUUGGCAGCGAGGCCUCCAAAAUCUUUUCCUUGUCGCUGCAGUCUUUAGGCAUUUGUGGAGAAAACCAUCAUAUGUUGUCGUAGAAACAUCAAAAACACAAGCCGUCUGAUCCUCUUGACACUAUACUUCAAAUACUUCAACAUAUCAAAAAUUUGGGGCGAAAUUCCUUCUGUAGCUUCUCAGGCGAAGAGGUGCAUGAAGACUUCGUAUCCAUUGAGCUUUGGAGAAGAUGUACAUGGCAUUCCAAGUAACUGUGACGAAGUAGACGGAGCACCCUCUUCUUGCAGUUUGUCAUAGAAGGCUAGAUGAAGCGUUCCCUCCUUGAGUCUUGGUGAGAAAGAGGCUUGCGGCGACCGUAUUCCAUCCUUAACGAGCGAGCACGUGGCGCAUCUCAUCCUUGAAGAUUGGCUCGAAGAGGCUUGGAGUUGGAGCGACCAUAUUGUUCUUUGCAAGCGAGCAUAUGGUGCGUCUCACUUUCGCGGCUUGGCGAAAUUGACACUACUUGGAGCAGUCCUUUCCAGCCAUGACGAGUAAGCACUUGUCACAUCUCCGCAAAAUAUCCAUUCUUUGGCGUAGGCGCGAUGAAAUCACAAGCCGCUUCUUCCUAUUGCAUGCUCUCAUUAAAAAAUCAUAUCUCGACUCAGGAGUGUCGAAACUACAAUCCGCUUGAUUCUACAGAAUCAUAAAUUUCACCACAACAACAUAUUCAAAAUUUUAGGACAAGUCAGAAUAAAUUUUCGAAGGCGAUGCACAUGUCUGUCAUAGCGACCUCACAGCACUGUAUGCUGCCACUCUAAAGUAUAUAUCUCAAGCUAGAAACGUCCAAAUCACAAGCCGUCUGCGCCACUGGAAAGAACACUCAAAUAUAAGGAAAUCCUUAAAAUAUUGUGGAAGGAUUCUUAGCAGAUUAUCCGUAUAAAAUUUCUGAAAUUGACCCAUCUCUCUGCCGAGCUCAUUAUUCAGCUUUUUGUGCACUCGUGGAAAAAUUCAUAUCGCGAUCUACGAGUGUCAGAAUCGUAAUCCAUCUGUGCCAUUGGAAAGAAAAAUACAAUUUCUGCAACACUUGAAGAUGUCAUAGACGAACUCCUUUCGAAUUAACCGCAACAAUAGUUUGAAAUUGCUCCUAACGUCUAUUGCAUUUGCUUUUCAGACUUGCGCACUCUUGCUGAAAAGUUCCUACCCUGAGAUACAAGUCUCUGGAUAAUAAAUGAGAUAUCAUUGAACACUGAACAUUCAAGAGCUUCAACAUUUCCGAAUUUCAUGGUAAAACACUCUCUAGGUAGGCCGGUACAGUUUUUCAAAGUUUCUCCACACGUCUGCCCAGCUAACUUUUCAGCUCUGUGCGCCUUUGUCGAGAAAUUCAUAACUUGAGCUAGAAAUCUCCAAAGUGUGAUCCGUUUGAACCGUUAGAAGUUAAACUCAUAGAGCUGCAUCUCAUAUGAAUCUCAUUGCAGAAAUCCUAUUGGGCUGGAAACAGAAAAUUCUCAAAGUACGACCUAGCUGCAGUAAACAUUCAGAUUCGUGUGGUUCCGACAACAAAAAUCGUAUCUUGAGACUCGCAAAGAAGUUCAACGGGCUCAGAUAUCAGUCAGAGAUGUCAUACAAGAUGCGGAGCCGCCCCCUCACCAACUGUUGCACUUGAUUUGUUGAUAGUCUUGAAGUUCAUCAAUGGCGGAUCCCAUGGUGAUUGAAGGUUUUUCAAGAGAGACGACUUCUCAUAUAUGGGAUCUUCAACCAAUCUUGCACAAGAGAAGCAAAGUAUCAUGCUCAAGGCAUGUGGUCAAGAGAUCAUCACAACUACUGAAUGUGAUACACGUACAUCGCGGACAACGUAUUAAAAUGUGGAGACGUCAUAUGGACUUGGAAGAAGAAUUCAAUACGAGUCGGCAACAAAGCCUAGUUUACGAUCAUUUUCAUGACUUAGGCUUUUGUAUAGGAAAACGUCUAAUCUCUUUGGUCACUGUAUUUUUGGAUGUAUCAACUUUUGUAACA
Molecule: long non-coding RNA, 2361 nt
Organism: Nicotiana attenuata
Lineage: Eukaryota; Viridiplantae; Streptophyta; Magnoliopsida; Solanales; Solanaceae
Exons: 3
Source: RefSeq, a predicted model, not a curated record